Molecule: long non-coding RNA, 2001 nt
Filed under: Bos indicus x Bos taurus (hybrid cattle)
Lineage: Eukaryota; Metazoa; Chordata; Mammalia; Artiodactyla; Bovidae
Description: lncRNA (ENSBIXG00005018015.1)
Source: RNAcentral
CAAAAAAUGAUAACAUCAUUUUUAUGUGACUCAUAUGCAAAAUGAAAUACAUUCAUCUAUGAGAUCGGCUGAUGGGAAAUAAAAUCAGAUAUUUUACUUCUAACUCCAUCAAGCAAAAGAAAAAUCAGUUGUGAUUCCAAGAAGAGAUGAACUCUUGACUAAGAGUUUUCGUGCAGGAUCUUUAUACACGUCCAAGGUCAGGAGCGGCGGCCGUGAGGAGAUACCCCAUGUCCAAGGUAAGGAGCAGCGGCUGUGCUUUGCUGGAGCAGCCAUGAAGAGAUCACCCAUGUCCAGGGUAAGAGAAACCCAAGUAAGACAGUAGGUGCCGAGAGAGGGCAUCAGAGGGCAGACAGACUGAAACCACAAUCACAGAAGACUAGCCAAUCUGAUCACAUGGACCCAGCCUUGUCUAACUCAGUGAAACUAGGCCAUGCUGUGUGGGGCCACCCAAGAUGGAUGGGUCAUGGUGGGGAGGUCUGACAGAAUGUGGUCCACUGGAGAAGGGAAUGGCAAACCACUUCAGUAUUCUUGCCUUGAGAACCCCAUGAACAGUAUGAAAAGGCAAAAAGAUAGGACACCGAACUGAACUGAAGAGUUUUCAUGCAGGGUCUUUAUAAAGCUAUUCUUUAAGUCUCCCUCAAGGGAUUAAGGGAUUAUUUCAGGUCACUCAAAUGCCUAGUGAGAUCAGGCCACAGCAUGAUUUUUGUAGAAAAUUCCACUCAAUUGAUCACCUACUUAGGAAUUUCUGGAAAGGAAUCCCAUAGGAUUUCUGUCAGGUUAGAUUCCCUUACACAAAACAUGGUCUUCCAAUGGAGAACUCGGCAGGGCAGCUGGCCCUUCCAGUCUGGAGAAUGGAAAAGGAUGAGGAGCAAAAUGGCGUUGAUUUUCUUCAUGGUAAUAAUGGCUUCUGCUGCCUUGACUCAGAGCCAAAGAGCCACACAGAUACAAUGCAGCUCUGCUCAAUGGGUGGCAGCGAUGAGGAACAGAAGCCUGGUUUUAGCUAAAACAAGGAUUUGAGAUGAAAGAAGGGUCAAAGAUGAAUACAGCCUGAGUUGCUCUAGCUGGGGCAGCCUGAGCAGUGAAGCAUGCAUUUCAGUCUAACUUUCAAGAGAAUGUUCCUACGCCAAGAUGAGAAUGUUACACUAUGCCAAGAUGGGUGACUAAUUCUCAGAGCAUCCAACUUCUCUAAACAAAUUCAAUUCUGGAUUUGAGUGCUGGGAAUACUGACUGAUGGCAUCAAAGCAGCACUGCCAAUAUUAAGAAAUUGCUUGUGGAAAAAAAAAAAAAGAAAGAAAUUGCUUGUGAUACAAACAGCCUCAUUCACAUUACUUUCUUCCUAUUGACUUUUAUUUGUGAGCGAGAGUGGGAGUUUUGCAUCCUCUUUCUCUCUAUCUCUUCUCAUUCAAAGUGACUCCAUCUACUCCUGUGGUCUUUAAGUAGCCAUCCAUCCUCUGGGCAGUCUCAGUUUUUUUGUUGUUAUUGUUGUUGUUUUUCCCCCUGUAGCCCAGACCUCUCCAGAUUUGAAUUCCGAACUCUGAUGCGGAAAACUUCUCAUAGUUUCUGGGUGGAUAUAUGUAAAAUGCAUCCAAAACUCAGUAUGUCUAAAACAAACUCCUGAUUUCAACUCUGUUUCCUUGCACAGGUUCCCAGCUUUAGUAAUGGGUAACUCCACUCUUCCUGUUACCCAGGACAAACUCAUUCUUGUCGAUUUUCUUUUCCUUACAUCCCACAUGUAAUACCAUUGCAAACUGAAUUCAACAAUACAGUUGUAAUUAUCCUCCCCUUUGUGUGUUGCUUACCCAAAAGAGUAGGCCUUUAAAAAAUCUCUGUCCCUCCUAUCCACCUUGUAGAAUGUGAACUCAGGAUCUUUCUGCUCCAUCAUCUUGGCCACAUCUCCCUAAAUUAAUUUUUUUUAAAUGCUCAACAUCUGAAGAAAGUUUUUUGUCAAACCCAAUACUCCAAGACUAAAUAGAGAGAAGUAAAAUAAAAUGUAAUGAUCUG